RNAcentral lists this long non-coding RNA (1173 nucleotides) under Sus scrofa (pig). RNAcentral describes it as "lncRNA (ENSSSCG00070015764.1)". Lineage: Eukaryota; Metazoa; Chordata; Mammalia; Artiodactyla; Suidae. The record is from RNAcentral.
CACUGCAAUUGCUAUGCUAGAUGUGGUAUUUCUGCCAGAACAGAUAAACUUGGCCUCGGGUAUGUGGUACAAAGCCUUUGGUCUGGAAAAUGUGUUCUUUUUCACCCUUUUCAGAAAAGAGGAACAGAAACAAUUAGCAUUCCCUUGGAAGUGACAAUAGUGUACGUUUGCAGUCUUGCCCCAGGGUUAUGUUAACACUUUCUCCCUCUGUCAAAGAAAUCUGGACUGGCGGCACAUCCUGAAGAAUAUUCUGCUGGCACAUGAUACUGAUAACAUCACACUAAUGGAGCCAAAUAAACCAGAAAUGACAACUAUGUUGGAGGCUUUAGUAAGACAAACAUGCUCCAGAGGGUGAGAGGCCAGCAAAAUUUCACGGGUCUGCUGCAUCUCUGACGUUUCUAAAAGUCCUAUCAUUGAAGAAUGCUGGGCCAACCUCUUCAAGCAAAAACACAAAUUAUUGCCCCUCCCAUCUGCUCCUACAAAGAAGGAAGCAUAAUACCUGGUAAGCCUCUUUGAGUUUUGGAGGCAGAAUAUGCCACAGCUGGGAAUAUUACUCUGACCCCCCCCCACCCACAUACACAUGAAAAGCUGCCAAAUGUGAUUAUGAAAUAGAAGGGAAGGGGGCAGGGCACAACCUUUAAAAGAAUAACAGAGACAUUGAGGCUAUGAUAUAAACUGGUUAGAACCAAUUAGGCCCAAGCUGGCAGAAAAAUCCACUUCCAGUGGACCUUGAGCCUCAUUAUAUGCUCAUUGUAACACGCCAGCAUAUACUAAGUGACACGCCCACAGGUGCCAAGACAGACCAUAAAAGGCCAAAAGUGGGCAGUGGCCCAAUUUGCUGGAAGUGUCCACCCCUUCUCUAAAAUAGGAGCUAGGCAGAGUAGACCAUGCUUGUAUACUGAUUAGAUUGGAGAAGAGAGAAAUAGAAGGAAUGAUUCAUGAAGCAGGAUGUCUAAGAAGAUGGAAAAAAUGGGAUGGAUGCAAGUUUCUGCUUCUCCCACUCAGGUGCAAACUCCACAAUAGCAAAGACUACGACAGUUUUGCUAAGAAAUUCUGUAUCUUAGAAGAUCCUCAAGAAAUAUUUUGAGUAAAUAAGUAAGUAUAAAUAGCACUAGUUUUAUGGGGUUAAGGAUCUGGCGUCACUGCUGUGGCUCUGGUUACAGCUGUAGUGUG